CAGGACGAACGCUGGCGGCGUGCUUAACACAUGCAAGUCGAACGAAGCACUUUAUUUGAUUUCCUUCGGGACUGAUUAUUUUGUGACUGAGUGGCGGACGGGUGAGUAACGCGUGGGUAACCUGCCUUGUACAGGGGGAUAACAGUUGGAAACGGCUGCUAAUACCGCAUAAGCGCACAGCAUCGCAUGAUGCAGUGCGAAAAACUCCGGUGGUAUAAGAUGGACCCGCGUUGGAUUAGCUAGUUGGUGAGGUAACGGCCCACCAAGGCGACGAUCCAUAGCCGACCUGAGAGGGUGACCGGCCACAUUGGGACUGAGACACGGCCCAAACUCCUACGGGAGGCAGCAGUAGG
This 353-nucleotide ribosomal RNA is filed under the name uncultured Eubacterium sp. RNAcentral's name for it is "bacterial SSU rRNA". It matches the Rfam family "Bacterial small subunit ribosomal RNA", at positions 25 to 358 of the family's 1533-position model. The record is from RNAcentral. Lineage: Bacteria; Bacillati; Bacillota; Clostridia; Eubacteriales; Eubacteriaceae.